UCAUAAUUGUAUAGUUAUGUGUUUCCAUUUUUUGUCCACCUUCUGUUUGCCAUGUAUACAUACUAACUAGAUUGGGUUGGAUCUAUGGAUGGAUGGAGACAUAUGCCUUGCUAUCUACCUCUACUUCCUCACCUUGGAUGAACUCAUCACUGCUAUUGACAAUAAUAGCCUCCUUUCUGUGCUUAGCCCCAUUGACGUUAGUGAGCUUCAAAGCUCAUUUGUAACAAUACCUGUAAUGUGAUUUUUGCCUCCAGUGUUCACGCAUCGAUCAUGACAUCGAGAAAUCAACUGUGACACUGUCUUCUACUCUAUCAUUUCCUCUUAUGUCAUUAGCACCAUGGAUCAUUAAACAGCAGAACAUCCUGGUGUAUCAAACACACGCAUAAAUAAAACAAUUCCUCUAAAGUAAUGCUGCUUCUGUUUGUCACAUUUCAAACAUAUCACAUGCAAUAAACAUGAGUGGUAAUCAAAUACAGACGACUCUAGCUCCUGUGUACAUUUUCCUGUAGUAUAUGAAACUUUAUUUUCCUAACUUUGCACUCCCCACAGUGUAACAUUUCACUCACAUAUGUG
Molecule: non-coding RNA, 573 nt
Organism: Pelobates cultripes (western spadefoot toad)
Lineage: Eukaryota; Metazoa; Chordata; Amphibia; Anura; Pelobatidae
Source: the annotation of a GenBank genome assembly